AGUAGGAAAUAACAGCAGCAACAACAGCUCACACAGACACACACCUCCUCCCCCUUUGACAAUUGACACCCCCUCCUCUUCCUUCCACGCGCGUUAGCGGGCCGCGCGGCGCCGCGCAUUGCUUCACCUCCGCUCCGCGCGGCUGAAACCGAAAAAAACCCAAUUUGGAUCGAAGCGGGGAGAGAGGACUUGAGGAGACGCGUCGUGGAGGGAAGUUUUUGAAAAAAAUUUUCCCCAACCCGCUGGGCGCGAUGCCGUCAUGAUCCCCCCCCUCGCCUCGCUGCCCAAAAAUUUUUCAAUCUCUCUCGCCCACAUUAAUCACCUUCCUCACGAGGCCAACGAGCAGAAAUCCCAUUUCAUCAUCAUUCAUACCAAUCCUCUCGGUUUCUUCCGCGUCCCCGGAUUCAGUUUCCUCCUCCUCUCCCCCCCUCUCGAUCCCUCCUCCUCUUCCCCUCGUUCCAGCGCGCUCGCCGUCGCCCGCCGCCGUCCGCCGACCAUGGAAGCAGCUGGAGUGGAGGUGAACGGAGGAGGAGGAGGCGACGUCGUGGUGGUGGUGCCGCAGCAGCAUGAGGUGGCGGCGAAGCAGGCGGCGGCGGCGGCGGCGGCGAAGGGGAAGUCCGUCGAAUCCAAGGGGGUCCGCGUCGUCGGCGGCCGGAUCUAUGAUCCGGAGAACGGCAAGACCUGCCACCAGUGCCGUCAGAAGACGAUGGACUUCGCCGCGUCAUGCCACAAGAUCAAGAAGAACAACAAGCAGUGCACGAUCCAGUACUGCCGCAAGUGUCUCUUUAACAGGUACGGCCAGGAAGCCGAGAAGGUGGCCAAUGACGGCACCUGGACUUGCCCCAAGUGCAAGGAUAUCUGCAAUUGCAGCUUCUGCAUGAAGAAGAAGGGGCUGCCGCCCACCGGAAUACUUGCCCAUGCUGCUAAGGCUUCAGGUUGUGCUUCGGUCCAUCAUUUACUGAAAAAGGGGAAAGAAGCGGUGGCUGCCGCGCAGAGGAGCACCCAGAAAGUGAGAUCUACACCUGUGAAGAAGAGCCCAAAGAGGGCCAUACAGCCAGAUGCUGCUGCUGAUGAACCUUUGGCUGAAGGGGAUGAGAAUGUAUGCAUUGAUUUCAAUGCUGCUCCAGUGAAGAAGCAGAAGAGAAGCAGGAAGGUGGGUAAUGGUGUGGCUCUGACGAAGGAUGAAAGCCCUGAUGCUCCCAAGGAACAAGUUGUUCUGCCCAAGGGCACUCCAGUCACUAGUGUUGCCGGUGCAGAGUGGGAGCCUGAAGAUGUUGGUCUUGCACUUCAGUUCUUCGAAUUCUGCCGCACAUUUGCUGAGAUUUUCCAAGUACGCAAGGGUCAACCAGAAAGAAUCCUUCGGGACAUAGCUGGAGGUCGUGGACUUCGAGUGGUGUCCUCAGUCAUCGCUGACUUCCACAUAACUUUGUUAUCCAUCAUCCAAGAAGGCCGAGGAAUCAAGCCUAUCACAUAUUCAAGAGAUAAUGAUGCAUGGAUUGUUGAUACUGGAAAAUGCAUAAGCGAGUCAAUCUUUGUCCCAGAGGGACUUCCCCUUGACUCCCUAAGUCAGGGGGUAUCGGGAUAUAAAAAUCUGAGCCCUUCUUGUAAGCUCAGUGUUCUGAACUUUUUGUGUGAUGAAAGUCUUUCUACUGAGAAGUUGAGGAGCUGCAUAUUAUCUGAAACAAAAAACCCCUCCAGAGAAAAAGCUCAUUCUGCAAAAGAGAAGGAGGAGCCAAAAGAAGAAACUAUAAAGAACACAGAUGAAGCAGUGCUUUUGAAAACUGAAGGAGCAGCUGUUGCUAUUGAGGAAGAUAAGAAUGGCAUUUCUCAACAAAAGGAUGUGAAAGAAGUAAAGAAUGCAGACACAAAUGAAAAGAAGCAUGGAGGUUUCCUUAGGACUAAUCCUUUCAUGGUAGACAAAAAGGUAAUCUAUUGGAAGCUGGAUGACUAUUGUAAUAACACAACAAUGAUGCUCCAAGAGGUUGAUGCUGAUGAUUUAAUGGGGAACAAAGACAAGUGGUUUAUGCUUAAUGAAGAUGAAAAGAAAAUAGUUGAAAACUAUUUAUCCACAAGGUAAGGAUUUCUCCAUAUCAAUUUAUUUGGAUUUAUUUUUAUCUAUUAUAAAUCAGGAAUGCAUGCUGAUUGGUAUGCUGGAUAAGUCACCAAAAUAUUUUGGUAGAAACACUAUUUGAUAUUUUAUCUGCAAACAAAAUUCGUGUUUUUAAUAAAAUUUUCCAAUGAUUGAACCACCUGUACAUUGUGAUGUACUUGAUGGGUAUAUCCUUUGAAGGAGCAUCCUAAGUAAUAUGCACUGGGGAUAUUAUUUCCUGAAAAUGUAGUGUAUUGUGAUUCCACAAAGCUCAAAUAUCUCAACUGAAUCAUUCCAAUAUGCUUAGUUAUGAUCAAGAAACUUUAGUAGCAUAAAAUGGUCGGUGAAGCACUUUGUCCAGACAUCUGACUAACUGAAGUGAUGUACUGCAUUAAAUAAAGUUUAUUUUAUAUAUCAUACUUGCAUUUUCAAUGUUCCAUGGCCAUAUUACUGGAUAUGGAUGAAUAUAUCUGUGUUUUUGUGUACCUCACUACUAUAACUUGCACUGUCCACACAUUUUCCUAGCUGAAGUGAUGCACCACAUUAAUUAAUUAUAGCUUGCAUUGUCCACAUAUUUUCCUAGCUGAAGUGAUGCACCGCAUUAGUUAAGAGUUUAUUUUGCAUAUCAAGCUAGUGGUUCCUUAUUUUCUACUUGACUGAAACUUUUGUAUAAUACAGGGUUUAGUAUGAUAAUUGAUAAUGAAGUGAGAUAUUGAGAUGUAACAUCUUUGUUCCCCACUAGUUUUAUGUUGUAAUUUCAGGAAAUAUUUUAAAAAAAUAAUCAAAAUUUGACAUCAGAAGUUUAGACGAGUAUGCAGAGAAUUACUGCCAAGAUUGGAUGACCAUCACUGGCUUAACUAUUAAGGAAUUAGUUUAUUUAUUACUAUCAUAAUAAUGCAAUCAGUUAUCUUUUUAAUAACAGAAUCCAAACUAUCAGUUCUGAUGUUUUCACUGUUGAUCUAAAGGUGCUAUACAAAUGUUUCAAGAAUCAAGAUUAUAUAGGUUACAAAAAAAUUGCCAUGUAUGUUGACAUGCUGAAGUUUCAUCUUGUCCUUGUGAUGAAUGCAAUGAUACUUGUUGCUCAUUGAUUAAAACUAACGUAUUAGCAUAUUCUACUUCCAACUUCUGAAAUAGCAUAUCAGUAACUUGUUAUCGCUUUCCUCAAUUGGCAAUGUUUUAAUACCUAAUAUUGCUUUCAAUAACUUUCUCUCUUUACUCUUAUAUCAGAUCACACAAGCUAACUAAGUUCACUUUGUUUUUGUCAACUCCAUGAAUAGUAGAAAUUGUCUUUGUCGACACAGUUUGUCACUGAUCUGACAUGUGAUUUUAACUGGUAAUACAGGCCUAAACGCAGGGGGAGAAAAGCUGCACAAUAGUCUACUGAUCAUACUCUCUAGGUUCCUCACCUGGCUGAAGGUGGGUGGACUAUGCUAGUUGAGAUAAGGCAACCUCUGUUGAGGCCAGAAGGGCCAUUUUUUGCUACAGAAAAUUUGCGCAAUUACAGAAGAACCAAGAAUUGUUGGAUCAUUCACAGAAAUUGAAUCAGAAGCUUGAACAAGUUUUGUCCAGAUGGCAAAGCCGGCAACUUUUGUAACACCUUUGCAGUUUCCUAGAUGAUACUGACGGAAAAUGUUUCAGUAUGAUCGCGUUAUACUGAAAUGUUGCACUAUAGCAAGAGUUUGCUAUAGUCAGUCAACCCCCGUUACCGUGGUGUGGUUAAAGUUAAACUGUUGUGUGUAACAUGUGACUGUCGAUAAUGACUAUCCAUCCAUUCAGUUCAGUGCUUUAGAUGCCUUUGAUUUUUCCCCCCUUCAGGGCUUUACUGGGUUAUCUGUGUUAGCUCACUUGCAGCACGGGUGACUUUCACAAACAAGUGACAAUGGCAAUUCCUUGCCUUGUCACAAUUGGAGAAAUUGACAUGAUUUUCCA
Non-coding RNA from Oryza sativa Japonica Group (Japanese rice), 4018 nucleotides. Lineage: Eukaryota; Viridiplantae; Streptophyta; Magnoliopsida; Poales; Poaceae. The record is from RefSeq and is a predicted model, not a curated record.